This 442-nucleotide ribosomal RNA is filed under the name uncultured bacterium. RNAcentral's name for it is "partial 16S ribosomal RNA". It matches the Rfam family "Bacterial small subunit ribosomal RNA", at positions 338 to 795 of the family's 1533-position model. The record is from RNAcentral.
CCUACGGGUGGCAGCAGUGGGGAAUAUUGGGCCAUGGAGGCAACUCUGACCCAGCAACGCCGCGUGAAUGAUGAAUGUCUUCGGAUUGUAAAGUUCUGUGGUGGGGGAUGAACACAAUGACGGUACCCCAAUAGCAUGCCACGGCUAACUACGUGAAAGCAGCCGCGGUAAUACGUAGGUGGCAAGCGUUAUCCGGAAUGACUGGGUGUAAAGGGUGCGUAGGGGGUUUAGUACGAUGGCGGUAUAAUUACGGGCCUCAACCGCGGCGCUACCGCCAAAACUAUUAGACUAGAGUGCAGGAAGGGUAAGUGGAAUUCCUAUUGUAGCGGUGGAAUGCGUAGAUAUUAGGAGGAACAUCAGGGGCAAGGGCGACUUACGGGACUGUAACUGACACUGAGGCACGAAAGCGUGGGGAGCAAACAGGAUUAGAUACCCUGUAGUC